This 1820-nucleotide long non-coding RNA is filed under the name Citrus x clementina. RNAcentral describes it as "Citrus clementina (C. clementina) long non-coding RNA (CCLE_LNC003052)". Lineage: Eukaryota; Viridiplantae; Streptophyta; Magnoliopsida; Sapindales; Rutaceae. The record is from RNAcentral.
AUAAAAUAAAAUAAAAAUCAUGCUAUAAACUUCGUGAUGAGGUAGCCGCCUGUCCUUUGCUUGAGCUCAACAUAUUCCUUGAUUCAAAGUCCAAAGUCUAAUCUCCUGAAAAUUAAUAAGAAACUUUGCCUAAAAGACACAUUUUGUUAGAUGUUUGUAGAAACUUUAUAUAAUGCCGUGGCCAUAUUGUCAUAGUUUCUUGUUUUUUCGAUGUCGACCUGGUCCUAUCCGGCUAUCGGUUACUUGACGGUCAAGGAUGCUGUAUUAUUCCCAAAAUAAUUUGUGAUUUUAAAACUAAUCUUGUUAUCUUGACCAAAUCUACCAUUGUUUAAUUGACUAUUCUGUCCCAAGAGUUAGCAAAUUAUAGAUUUUAUUUUUAUUAUAUUAAAACGCAAAAAAAGAAAAAAAAAAUCUCUCUGAAGAGUUUUUUAAGACCAAUGAGACUCUGAACUUUAUAUAUAUAUAUAUAUAUAUAUAUAUAUAUAUAUAUAUAUAUUGCCCUUUCUGUGUGCAAAUGAGACUCUGAACUUUAUACUAGUUGUGUAAAACAAAAUAUGGAUUAGGUGUGUGAUACCAAUCAGGCCUUUGAUUGCAUUCCAUAUGGACCAACCACCUUUUGCCCAAUUGCACAAUUUUAAAUGCAAAUAAAAGUACGUUUAGUAUGAUUUUUUUUUAACAUACGUUUAAUUGAUUUAAAUAGGCAAAUUACUUAAUCUAUAAAUCGAUACACAUCAAGCAAGUUGAAUGAAGUUUUGAUUACGUACACGCCAGAUCAUGAAUUAGUAACUGCAUCAAAUCUAUAUAUAUAAAUCCAAUUGUUUCGAAUUUUCUAUUUUUGGAAUGAAAUAUUUAACAACUUUCAUGAAUAAUAUCAAAUCUCAUUUCAUAGUAUUUCACACAUCAUGAUCACCAUCUCUUACUUAUUUAUUUCACUCAAAUCCAAUUAUUGCGUGCAAUUAUUCUCAACAAAUUCAUUUGUUAGUUGUUCACUUUCUAUUCUUUUCGCACAAGUUGAUAAUUUUUUAAAGAAAAUAUGAGUGAACAAAGUCUAAAUUGCAUAUAUUUAAUGAUUUCAAUCCUCUUACCCCUUACUAUUUAAACGCACGUGGCCAAUCAAAGAACGAGAAAGGGAAACCACUCGGCGGAGCCCUUACUAGUAAGUUAAAAAUACGACUUUAUUUUUCAUAAUUAGAGAAAAUAUUUUAAUAUAUUUUAAAAAAUUAGGAAUAUUUUCAUGAAUUUCAUUUUUUAUUUUACCGUGUGUAAAUUACAUUCACCAAACGACGAUGAAAAACCGAAGUGAACUAUACUAUACAGACGCGGUCUAUUCCCUUAACAAACCCAGAGCUAAAAGAAUUCUGAUUGUUGGGGUCAAAACAGAUAAAACCGGGGGCUAGUUAAUGUUCCCUAGAAAAUGCAAUAACAUAGAGGCACGACUGCCCAAGCUGAAGAAACAAAAGAGGCCUCUUCCAGCCCAUGAAAGGCCCAUCAGCAAUGCUAUUGGGGCGGUCCUAAGUCCAACCAUCUGAGUCUGAUUUUUUAUUUUUUAUUCCUAAAAUAGAUUGAAAUUUUGAAUCUGUCCACGUAAUUGACAAAAAUAUUAUAAGGUUCCGCCUAAGUUACAUUACGUUACGGUCAGCAUCUAAAAUUUCAUUGAGCCCCCUAUACUCUAUAUUAUUUGUAAUUUAUUCAUAAGUAUUAUGAAACUUUCUGAAUUAUAAAAUUUCGUUUAAUCCCAUACACUGAAUUUUAUUUUAUUGAAAUCCCAAAGUACGAAUUCGCCCCCUAUAAUUUUAAAUUUCCAAAAUGACCUCUAUUUA